UACGGAGGGGGUUAGCGUUGUUCGGAAUUACUGGGCGUAAAGCGCACGUAGGCGGAUUGACAAGUUGGGGGUGAAAUCCCGGGGCUCAACCCCGGAACUGCCUCCAAAACUGUCAGUCUUGAGUUCGAGAGAGGUGAGUGGAAUUCCGAGUGUAGAGGUGAAAUUCGUAGAUAUUAGGAAGAACACCAGUGGCGAAGGCGGCUUACUGGUCCGGUACUGACGCUGAGGUGCGAAAGCGUGGGGAGCAAACAGG
Molecule: ribosomal RNA, 253 nt
Filed under: uncultured bacterium
Lineage: Bacteria
Description: partial 16S ribosomal RNA
Rfam family: Bacterial small subunit ribosomal RNA
Source: RNAcentral